This 283-nucleotide ribosomal RNA is filed under the name Elassoma zonatum (banded pygmy sunfish). RNAcentral describes it as "partial 12S ribosomal RNA". Lineage: Eukaryota; Metazoa; Chordata; Actinopteri; Centrarchiformes; Elassomatidae. The record is from RNAcentral.
GGUUUACGACCUCGAUGUUGGAUCAGGAUUAGAUCCACCUAGAGGAGCCUGUUCUAGAACCGAUAACCCCCGUUAACCUCACCCNNCUCUACGUUUUUNUCCGCCUAUAUACCACCGUCGUCAGUUUACCCUGUGAAGGAUAAAUAGUAAGCAAGACUGGCACCAGCCUAAANNACGUUAGGUCGAGNGUGUAGUCCANUGGAGAGGGAAGCAAUGGGCUACAUUCGCUGACUNCAGCGNAAAACGAAGAAAAAUGAAAGUNUUUGUCUAAAGGAGGAUUUAG